GACGAACGCUGGCGGCGCGCCUAACACAUGCAAGUCGAACGAGCGAGAGAGAGCUUGCUUUCUUGAGCGAGUGGCGAACGGGUGAGUAACGCGUGAGGAACCUGCCUCAAAGAGGGGGACAACAGUUGGAAACGACUGCUAAUACCGCAUAAGCCCACGGUGCCGCAUGGCACAGAGGGAAAAGGAGCAAUCCGCUUUGAGAUGGCCUCGCGUCCGAUUAGCUAGUUGGUGAGGUAACGGCCCACCAAGGCGACGAUCGGUAGCCGGACUGAGAGGUUGAACCGGCACAAUUGGGCCUGGGACCCGGCCAGACUCCUACGGGAGGCAGCAGUGGGGAAUAUUGCACAAUGGGGGAAACCCUGAUGCAGCGACGCCGCGUGGAGGAAGAAGGUCUUCGGAUUGUAAACUCCUGUUGUUGGGGAAGAUAAUGACGGUACCCAACAAGGAAGUGACGGCUAACUACGUG
RNAcentral lists this ribosomal RNA (466 nucleotides) under uncultured bacterium. Its description in RNAcentral is "partial 16S ribosomal RNA". It matches the Rfam family "Bacterial small subunit ribosomal RNA", at positions 28 to 507 of the family's 1533-position model. The record is from RNAcentral.